RNAcentral lists this long non-coding RNA (503 nucleotides) under Bos taurus (domestic cattle). Its description in RNAcentral is "long non-coding RNA NONBTAT016283". Lineage: Eukaryota; Metazoa; Chordata; Mammalia; Artiodactyla; Bovidae. The record is from RNAcentral.
GGCUAAAUUAAUAUGUUUAAAGCAAUUAAACUUUUGCCAACUUGCUUUUUAAAAUCCAUGUAAAAUAUUUUCAUUCAAUAAAGUUUAUUGAAAAUUCAAGAAGGUGAAGACAAUGAUGAUUUGGAUAAAAAUGACCAUUUUUGCAUUAAUUUGCUGAAAAUGGCAUCAUAAUAAAAUAACCUGAAUAAAUAAAAUGACCUGAAAAUAGGCCAAAAUAAUUGCAAAGAGGAGUGAGAACCCAGGAUCCUUCCUUUUCAGUCAGGUACCAAUAUGUUUCAUUACAGCACAAAUGCUUUAUAAAUGUAUUACAGAAGUUUCAAAUUUCAGAAAAUAUGGACAUUCUUGGGGCACAAAGGUGCACAUCUCUAAGAGAUAGAGAGAAAAAAUGAUUUAUUCUGUUUUUCUAGCAUUGCUAGUUUCUAGGUAUUCACCAUUUUCUCUGGCUGCAGGCAAUGAUUUUCUGAAGUGGUUUCUGAUGGUGUCUGACAUCAUUUAUAGCACUC